GCUCAGAUUGAACGCUGGCGGCAGGCUUAACACAUGCAAGUCGAACGGUAACAGAGAAUAGCUUGCUAUUUUGCUGACGAGUGGCGGACGGGUGAGUAAUGCUUGGGAAUAUGCCUUAUGGUGGGGGACAACAGUUGGAAACGACUGCUAAUACCGCAUAACAUCUCCGGAUCAAAGUGGGGGACCUUCGGGCCUCACGCCAUAAGAGUAGCCCAAGUGGGAUUAGCUAGUUGGUAAGGUAAUGGCUUACCAAGGCGACGAUCCCUAGUUGGUCUUAGAGGAUGACCAGCCACACUGGAACUGAGACACGGUCCAGACUCCUACGGGAGGCAGCAGUGGGGAAUAUUGCACAAUGGGCGCAAGCCUGAUGCAGCCAUGCCGCGUGUGUGAAGAAGGCUUUCGGGUUGUAAAGCACUUUCAGCGAGGAGGAAAGGUUGUACUUUAAUAGAGUGCAGCUGUGACGUUACUCGCAGAAGAAGCACCGGCUAACUCCGUGCCAGCAGCCGCGGUAAUACGGAGGGUGCGAGCGUUAAUCGGAAUUACUGGGCGUAAAGCGCGCGUAGGUGGUUAAUUAAGUCAGAUGUGAAAUCCCAGGGCUCAACCUUGGAACUGCAUUUGAAACUGGUUGACUAGAGUUUUGUAGAGGGUGGUAGAAUUUCAGGUGUAGCGGUGAAAUGCGUAGAGAUCUGAAGGAAUACCAGUGGCGAAGGCGGCCACCUGGACAAAGACUGACACUGAGGCGCGAAGGCGUGGGGAGCAAACGGGAUUAGAUACCCCGGUAGUCCACGCAGUAAACGAUGUCUAUUAGAAUUUUGUGGCUAUAUGCCGUGGGAUUCAAAGCUAACGCAUUA
Molecule: ribosomal RNA, 851 nt
Filed under: uncultured Psychromonas sp.
Lineage: Bacteria; Pseudomonadati; Pseudomonadota; Gammaproteobacteria; Alteromonadales; Psychromonadaceae
Description: bacterial SSU rRNA
Rfam family: Bacterial small subunit ribosomal RNA
Source: RNAcentral